GCAUAAAUUAAAUUAGACUUCUAAUCUAAUACUUAAUGAUAUCCAUCAUUUUAUGCCCC
Molecule: transfer RNA, 59 nt
Filed under: Leptomyrmex pallens
Lineage: Eukaryota; Metazoa; Arthropoda; Insecta; Hymenoptera; Formicidae
Description: tRNA-Ser
Source: RNAcentral